RNAcentral lists this ribosomal RNA (1342 nucleotides) under uncultured bacterium. Its description in RNAcentral is "16S ribosomal RNA". It matches the Rfam family "Bacterial small subunit ribosomal RNA", at positions 28 to 1378 of the family's 1533-position model. The record is from RNAcentral.
GACGAACGCUGGCGGCGUGCUUACACAUGCAAGUCGAACGGAAAGGCCCUGCUUUUGUGGGGUGCUCGAGUGGCGAACGGGUGAGUAACACGUGAGUAACCUGCCCUUGACUUUGGGAUAACUUCAGGAAACUGGGGCUAAUACCGGAUAGGAGCUCCUGCUGCAUGGUGGGGGUUGGAAAGUUUCGGCGGUUGGGGAUGGACUCGCGGCUUAUCAGCUUGUUGGUGGGGUAGUGGCUUACCAAGGCUUUGACGGGUAGCCGGCCUGAGAGGGUGACCGGCCACAUUGGGACUGAGAUACGGCCCAGACUCCUACGGGAGGCAGCAGUGGGGAAUAUUGCACAAUGGGCGGAAGCCUGAUGCAGCAACGCCGCGUGCGGGGUGACGGCCUUCGGGUUGUAAACCGCUUUCGCCUGUGACGAAGCGUGAGUGACGGUAAUGGGUAAAGAAGCACCGGCUAACUACGUGCCAGCAGCCGCGGUGAUACGUAGGGUGCGAGCGUUGUCCGGAUUUAUUGGGCGUAAAGGGCUCGUAGGUGGUUGAUCGCGUCGGAAGUGUAAUCUUGGGGCUUAACCCUGAGCGUGCUUUCGAUACGGGUGGACUUGAGGAAGGUAGGGGAGAAUGGAAUUCCUGGUGGAGCGGUGGAAUGCGCAGAUAUCAGGAGGAACACCAGUGGCGAAGGCGGUUCUCUGGGCCUUUCCUGACGCUGAGGAGCGAAAGCGUGGGGAGCGAACAGGCUUAGAUACCCUGGUAGUCCACGCUGUAAACGGUGGGUACUAGGUGUGGGGUCCAUUCCACGGGUUCCGUGCCGUAGCUAACGCUUUAAGUACCCCGCCUGGGGAGUACGGCCGCAAGGCUAAAACUCAAAGGAAUUGACGGGGCCCCGCACAAGCGGCGGAGCAUGCGGAUUAAUUCGAUGCAACGCGUAGAACCUUACCUGGGUUUGACAUGGAUCGGGAGUGCUCAGAGAUGGGUGUGCCUCUUUUGGGGUCGGUUCACAGGUGGUGCAUGGCUGUCGUCAGCUCGUGUCGUGAGAUGUUGGGUUAAGUCCCGCAACGAGCGCAACCCUUGUUCACUGUUGCCAGCACGUUAUGGUGGGGACUCAGUGGAGACCGCCGGGGUCAACUCGGAGGAAGGUGGGGAUGACGUCAAGUCAUCAUGCCCCUUAUGUCCAGGGCUUCACGCAUGCUACAAUGGCUGGUACAGAGAGUGGCGAGCCUGUGAGGGUGAGCGAAUCUCGGAAAGCCGGUCUCAGUUCGGAUUGGGGUCUGCAACUCGACCUCAUGAAGUCGGAGUCGCUAGUAAUCGCAGAUCAGCAACGCUGCGGUGAAUACGUUCCCGGG